UGAAAUUGAAUAAUCAAAAUCAAUUUCUUACCAUGUUCUCAAGAUAUUCUAAAUUUUCAGGAUUCCUUGAUUUCAUAUUACAAUAAUAUGUACCGUCUUAGUUACAUUUGGUAAGAACUUUAUGAAAACAAUCUAUUUAAAGGGCUUUCUCCUCUUUUGAGAAUCAAGUCAUAUCGCAAAAAAAAAGGUUUAUCUUAAUUUGCUCUAGUUUCUUAACCAAUGGCUUCUGGGAAUCGGGGUUCUAGUUUUGAACAAGAACUUAUCAAGUGAGUUUCUUUCAGUUUCCUUUUUUUUUUCUUGCUUGUUAUUUAUUUACUAUUUUCAUGAAGUUUUUAUGGUGCUUUUUAAUGUUAGAGCAAAGAAUGAAAACAAGCUACUUAAGCUCGAAUACAAAAUGCUCCUUUUGGAACACAAAUUGCUUUGUGAAUGUUUGAAGAAUCCAACAUGCUGUACUUGCAGUGAAGGACAAAAGGGACAUCUUGAAACAAUGGAGGAG
Molecule: long non-coding RNA, 496 nt
Filed under: Nicotiana tabacum (common tobacco)
Lineage: Eukaryota; Viridiplantae; Streptophyta; Magnoliopsida; Solanales; Solanaceae
Description: long non-coding RNA (NTAB_LNC015522)
Source: RNAcentral